GCAACAGGUUUCAGCUCUCCUCACUUCGUUUAUUGCCGAUACAUUUGCAUAAUUCAAACGUGUAUUCCGAUGCAAAUAUUGAUUGCUGAUACAUACAAUUUCAUUCCAUUCCCUUGAGCGAACUUACAAGAAACGUGACGACAGCGGAGAUUGGGGCUGACACACGUAGGCGUGUCAAGGCUCUAAUUUACCACAAAUCUGUGGUUGACCGCCAGCUGCCAUGGCUUGCGAUGGGCUUGGGCUCCUCCUGAUUCAUCUAGAGGCCAGUUCGGGGCUGCUGCCAACCACAUUACCCGAGAGAAACACUCAACAAGCCGCGCUCUGAACUCGUCGAGGAAGUGUAACGAACGCUGUCAACUGAUUUAGAUUGCUCGAUAGUGGGAGGUCGGCUCGUUCGCUUGCAUUUGAGCAGGAACAUUCAUUAAAUGCCAGACAGCGACUUGUUGAAUUCAAUUGUGGGACGGGAUAAAUGUUGAACAAGUGCGACUGACAGGUGAAAAUGAACAACUCUUCUCUCUCUAAACCGCUCCAAAGUUGACUUGAAGUCAUCGGGGAAUGCAAUGAACCUU
RNAcentral lists this long non-coding RNA (569 nucleotides) under Drosophila guanche. The record is from RNAcentral. Lineage: Eukaryota; Metazoa; Arthropoda; Insecta; Diptera; Drosophilidae.